AAAUUGAAGAGUUUGAUCAUGGCUCAGAUUGAACGCUGGCGGCAGGCCUAACACAUGCAAGUCGAACGGUAACAGGAAGCAGCUUGCUGCUUUGCUGACGAGUGGCGGACGGGUGAGUAAUGUCUGGGAAACUGCCUGAUGGAGGGGGAUAACUACUGGAAACGGUGGCUAAUACCGCAUAACGUCGCAAGACCAAAGAGGGGGACCUUCGGGCCUCUUGCCAUCAGAUGUGCCCAGAUGGGAUUAGCUGGUAGGUGGGGUAACGGCUCACCUAGGCGACGAUCCCUAGCUGGUCUGAGAGGAUGACCAGCCACACUGGAACUGAGACACGGUCCAGACUCCUACGGGAGGCAGCAGUGGGGAAUAUUGCACAAUGGGCGCAAGCCUGAUGCAGCCAUGCCGCGUGUAUGAAGAAGGCCUUCGGGUUGUAAAGUA
Molecule: ribosomal RNA, 435 nt
Filed under: Salmonella enterica subsp. houtenae
Lineage: Bacteria; Pseudomonadati; Pseudomonadota; Gammaproteobacteria; Enterobacterales; Enterobacteriaceae
Description: bacterial SSU rRNA
Rfam family: Bacterial small subunit ribosomal RNA
Source: RNAcentral